GUCUUUGUAGGGCAAUGGAUAGCACGUUGGACUUUUAAUCCAAAGGUCGUGGGCUCGAAUCCCACCUAGGUUGGCA
This 76-nucleotide transfer RNA is filed under the name Trichonephila inaurata madagascariensis. RNAcentral's name for it is "tRNA-Lys". It matches the Rfam family "tRNA". Rfam says of the family: Transfer RNA (tRNA) molecules are approximately 80 nucleotides in length. Lineage: Eukaryota; Metazoa; Arthropoda; Arachnida; Araneae; Nephilidae. The record is from RNAcentral.